UUAAGUUCAGCGGGUAUCCCUACCUGAUCCGAGGUCAAACGAUUGAAAUCUUAAUGGAUGUAGACUAUGAGGAGAAACGCAAAUGUGCUGCGCUGGACUACUGAUAAUCUGCUGCCAAUAAUUUUGAGGCAAGUCCUUGCGGACAACGCCCAACACCAAGCAAAGCUUGAAGGUUCAAAUGACGCUCGAACAGGCAUGCC
This 200-nucleotide unclassified non-coding RNA is filed under the name Pleosporales sp. RNAcentral describes it as "partial internal transcribed spacer 2". The record is from RNAcentral. Lineage: Eukaryota; Fungi; Ascomycota; Dothideomycetes; Pleosporales.